CUCUUAUCAAGAGAGGUGGAGGGAAAUGGCCCUGUGAAACCCAGCAACCUACAGUAAUUAAUUUUAAUUAAUAUGUGUGGUGCUAAUUCCUGUAGAUUUUAUCUACAAGAUGAGAA
This 116-nucleotide non-coding RNA is filed under the name Clostridium colicanis 209318. RNAcentral describes it as "SAM riboswitch aptamer (S box leader)". It matches the Rfam family "SAM riboswitch aptamer (S box leader)". Rfam says of the family: The SAM riboswitch is found upstream of a number of genes which code for proteins involved in methionine or cysteine biosynthesis in Gram-positive bacteria. The SAM riboswitch acts at the level of transcription termination control. Lineage: Bacteria; Bacillati; Bacillota; Clostridia; Eubacteriales; Clostridiaceae. The record is from Rfam by way of RNAcentral.